UACGAAGGGGGCUAGCGUUGUUCGGAAUUACUGGGCGUAAAGCGCACGUAGGCGGCUAUGUAAGUCAGGGGUGAAAUCCCGGGGCUCAACCUCGGAACUGCCUUUGAUACUGCAAAUCUUGAGUCCGGAAGAGGUGAGUGGAAUUCCUAGUGUAGAGGUGAAAUUCGUAGAUAUUAGGAAGAACACCAGUGGCGAAGGCGGCUCACUGGUCCGGUACUGACGCUGAGGUGCGAAAGCGUGGGGAGCAAACAGG
RNAcentral lists this ribosomal RNA (253 nucleotides) under uncultured bacterium. RNAcentral's name for it is "partial 16S ribosomal RNA". It matches the Rfam family "Bacterial small subunit ribosomal RNA", at positions 524 to 776 of the family's 1533-position model. The record is from RNAcentral.